UACGUAGGGUGCAAGCGUUGUCCGGAAUUAUUGGGCGUAAAGAGCUCGUAGGCGGUUUGUCGCGUCGGCUGUGAAAACCUGGGGCUCAACCCCGGGCCUGCAGCCGAUACGGGCAAACUAGAAUUCGGUAGGGGAGACUGGAAUUCCUGGUGUAGCGGUGAAAUGCGCAGAUAUCAGGAGGAACACCGGUGGCGAAGGCGGGUCUCUGGGCCGAUACUGACACUGAGAAGCGAAAGCGUGGGGAGCGAACAGG
This 253-nucleotide ribosomal RNA is filed under the name uncultured bacterium. RNAcentral's name for it is "partial 16S ribosomal RNA". It matches the Rfam family "Bacterial small subunit ribosomal RNA", at positions 524 to 776 of the family's 1533-position model. The record is from RNAcentral.